AUUGAACGCUGGCGGCAGGCUUAACACAUGCAAGUCGAACGAGUGGCGGACGGGUGAGUAAUGUCUGGGAAACUGCCUGAUGGAGGGGGAUAACUACUGGAAACGGUAGCUAAUACCGCAUACCAUCGGAUGUGCCCAGCUGGGCUUAGAUAGUUGGUGGGGUAACGGCUCACCAAGGCGACGAUCCCUAGCUGGUCUGAGAGGAUGACCAGACACACUGGGACUGAGACACGGUCCAGACUCCUACGGGAGGCAGCAGUGGGGAAUAUGGCACAAUGGGCGCAAGCCUGAUGCAGCCAUGCCGCGUGUAUGAAGAAGGCUUUCGGGUUGUAAAGUACUUUCAGCGGGGAGGCGUUACCCGCAGAAGAAGCACCGGCUAACUCCGUGCCAGCAGCCGCGGUAAUUC
This 406-nucleotide ribosomal RNA is filed under the name uncultured bacterium. Its description in RNAcentral is "partial 16S ribosomal RNA". It matches the Rfam family "Bacterial small subunit ribosomal RNA", at positions 30 to 526 of the family's 1533-position model. The record is from RNAcentral.